AAUUAAAAAUAAUAUGAAGAUAACUUAAAAACAAUAUUUUUUUUAUUAAAUACGUUGAAAAAAAAAAGAAAAAAUUAAAAUUGAUAAAAACACUUAAAGAAAGUAACAAAAAAUAAAAUUUAUGCUACGCUGGAUAAAUAAAAGCUAAAAUGAAAUAAUACAUCGAAAGAAAAUAGCAUGAUAUGUACUUACUUAUGUAUGUACUUACGUAUGUAUGUACUUACGUAUGUAAGAAUAUUUAAUUAUUACUUGUUCCAUUCGUUUUAUUCGUUUCAUUUGUUCUAUUUGUUUUAUUUGUUCUACUCCUUUUAUUUGCUUUGUUCGUUUUAUUUAUUUUUUUUACCUUUUUUCUCACAUUUAUAAUAAAACACUUAUUAUGCGCUCUCUAUAAAAUGAAAAACAAAACAGUGGUUAAAAUAGUUAUGGAAUCACCCUAUAACAUAGAAAUGUAAUAUAAUAAUAAAAAAAAAAGAAAAAAAAGAAAAAUAUUUUUUUUUACGUUUUACAUUUGCUUAAUGCUUAUAUAUAUAUAUGUAUAUGUGCACAUCUGUAUAUCCAUUAUUCCCAUUACUCUUAUUUAGAAAACCUCUUGAUGUUAAGAAGAGCAAUUCGAUACAGAAGACAUUAUUUAAGUAAAUAAGACAAAAACAAAAAAUGUUUUAAUUAUUUUUCAGUUAAAUACAGCACAUAAACUUGAUAGUACAAGAAACUGUUCAUUUUGGUGUGACCAUAUAUUUAAUUACAUAGGACCUGAGUGGGAUGUACCUAGUUGUAUUAUAGUUAAAUUUUUCUACAUAUAUAUAUAUAUAUAUAUAUAUUUACACCUUUGUGAUAAAUAAAAACUUUUUCAGAAUUAUGAAUUCUCCUAAUAAGGAAAAUUUAUUUUUGUUUGAUCAUGGUGAAAUUAUAAUGGGUUUAGAAAAUAACAGGGUGGAAGCACUUAUAUUGAUUAAAACGCCAGAGUAUGAACAGUUUUAUAAGCACAUACCAAUAAUAGCAUCAUUAAAGAAGGUCUGUUAUGUUUUGAUUGAGUGCAACAAUGACUCAAUAUUUUCAAAAUAUUUUACUACACCCCAUGUUGGUAUAAAAACUGUAGAUGAGAAAACAAACAAUCCAUCUUCUGAUAUUUAUAAAGAAAUAAAAAAUUUAAUUUCAUUAAUUAAGUCAUAUUAUAUUCCUGCAGAUAUUCCUUAUUUGUUUAGCCACCCAAGUAACAUUUGAAAAAAAAAAAAAUAAAUAAAAAUAAGCUACACA
RNAcentral lists this long non-coding RNA (1254 nucleotides) under Piliocolobus tephrosceles (Ugandan red Colobus). Its description in RNAcentral is "lncRNA (ENSPTEG00000001611.1)". Lineage: Eukaryota; Metazoa; Chordata; Mammalia; Primates; Cercopithecidae. The record is from RNAcentral.